RNAcentral lists this ribosomal RNA (492 nucleotides) under uncultured bacterium. RNAcentral describes it as "partial 16S ribosomal RNA". It matches the Rfam family "Bacterial small subunit ribosomal RNA", at positions 29 to 507 of the family's 1533-position model. The record is from RNAcentral.
AGUGAACGCUGGCGGUAGGCCUAACACAUGCAAGUCGAACGGCAGCACAGUAAGAGCUUGCUCUUACGGGUGGCGAGUGGCGGACGGGUGAGGAAUACAUCGGAAUCUACUUUUUCGUGGGGGAUAACGUAGGGAAACUUACGCUAAUAACGCAUACGACCUACGGGUGAAAGCAGGGGAUCUUCGGACCUUGCGCGAUUGAAUGAGCCGAUGUCGGAUUAGCUAGUUGGCGGGGUAAAGGCCCACCAAGGCGACGAUCCGUAGCUGGUCUGAGAGGAUGAUCAGCCACACUGGAACUGAGACACGGUCCAGACUCCUACGGGAGGCAGCAGUGGGGAAUAUUGGACAAUGGGCGCAAGCCUGAUCCAGCCAUACCGCGUGGGUGAAGAAGGCCUUCGGGUUGUAAAGCCCUUUUGUUGGGAAAGAAGAGCAGCAGGUUAAUACCCCGCUGUUCUGACGGUACCCAAAGAAUAAGCACCGGCUAACUUCGUG